CUUCAUUUGCAUAAUUGUGUCCCUGAUGGUCUAGUGGCUAGGAUUCGGCGCUCUCACCGCUGCGGCCCGGGUUCAAUUCCCGGUCAGGGAAAUCAUAUAUAAAGUGUUAAAUUCCUGGUCAGGGAAUUCAAGCCAAACUGCAGAUGUUUUUAAAGUUUUCGACUUAAACUAAGACUUCAUUUGCAUAAUUGUGUCCCUGAUGGUCUAGUGGCUAGGAUUCGGCGCUCUCACCGCCGCGGCCCGGGUUCAAUUCCCGGUCAGGGAAAUGAGACUUAGAGUUUGAAUUCCAGAUCCAACUUUUAAUUCAAGCCAAACUGCAGAUGUUUUUAAAGUUUUCGACUUAAACUAAGACUUCAUUAGCAUAAUCAUGUCCCUGAUGGUCUAGUGGCUAGGAUUUGGCGCUUUCACCGCCGCGGCCCGGGUUAAAUUCCCGGUCACGGAAAUGAGAUUUAGAGUUUGGAAUUCCAGAUCCAACUUUUGAUUCAAGCCAAACUACAGAUGUUUUUAAAGUUUUCGACUUAAACUAAGACUUCAUUUGCAUAAUUGUGUCACUGAUGGUCUAGUGGCUAGGAUUCGGCGCUCUCACCGCUGCGGCCCGGGUUCAAUUCCCGGUCAGGGAAAUCAUAUAUAAAGUGUUAAAUUCCUGGUCAGGGAAUUCAAGCUUUAACUUUUAAUUCAAGCCAAACUGCAGAUGUUUUUAAAGUUUUCGACUUAAAUUAAUACUUCAUUAGCAUAAUCAUGUCCCUGAUGGUCUAGUGGCUAGGAUUCGGCGCUCUCACCGCCGCGGCCCGGGUUCAAUUCCUGGUCAGGGAAAUCAGAUUUUAGA
Gasterosteus aculeatus aculeatus (three-spined stickleback) is the source of this 826-nucleotide long non-coding RNA. NCBI's taxonomy places the organism in Eukaryota, Metazoa, Chordata, Actinopteri, Perciformes, Gasterosteidae. The record is from Ensembl.